CGAGACAAUGCUAUUCUUGUAA
This 22-nucleotide microRNA is filed under the name Drosophila ananassae. RNAcentral's name for it is "Dan-Mir-986_3p* (star (passenger))". The record is from RNAcentral. Lineage: Eukaryota; Metazoa; Arthropoda; Insecta; Diptera; Drosophilidae.